RNAcentral lists this long non-coding RNA (414 nucleotides) under Capsicum annuum. RNAcentral's name for it is "long non-coding RNA (CANN_LNC002381)". The record is from RNAcentral. Lineage: Eukaryota; Viridiplantae; Streptophyta; Magnoliopsida; Solanales; Solanaceae.
UGCAUUUUUGGAAUCUUCUUUUUCCAAAAAAUAUCAUUUUUUGGAAUUUCAUCAGUUGAUUUGUAAGGCGAACCAAGAAAAUCCUUGAAGGAAUAAACUGACUUAACAAGUUUGUGUUGAUUCUUUUUGUUAUCCAUGGAAAGAAAAGCAACAAAAAAAAUGAUGAAAAUCAAGAUUUUUUUUUUUGGAAAGAAAAAUAAGAUUUUUGUGUGAAGAAUGGGAUUUUAUGGGUUUUUAAGACAAGAGAAUUCUUUGUAAUGAUGAGGAAAACAACAUAUAGGAAGGGGUUUAUAUAGAAAAUGAAAUCAAGAAAUAGGUUUGUUUCUUUUGGAAAGUAAAUUAAUAUUUGUCUUUUGUUACUAAAAUUUGAAGGAAUUUGGAAUUUGGAGAGUUGGUUGGAUUAUGAUAAUUGGA